Archocentrus centrarchus (flier cichlid) is the source of this 221-nucleotide long non-coding RNA. RefSeq lists it as uncharacterized. The record is from RefSeq and is a predicted model, not a curated record. Lineage: Eukaryota; Metazoa; Chordata; Actinopteri; Cichliformes; Cichlidae. The transcript has 3 exons.
AGACCCUCAACACCUUUGUGGUGUCAGCCAGUGUGACCAAUGCCAGUUGUCCAAUCAAAGACCUAGCAGAAGACAUUAAAGUCACACUCCACCACCUUAUACCAAACACACUUUACAAGAAGGUAGAGUGUGUGUACUGGAACUUCAGUAAAAACAAUGGGCAAGGAGACUGGGAUGAUUACGGGUGCCGACAAAACAACAGCAACUCAAAAUACACAACC